This 484-nucleotide ribosomal RNA is filed under the name uncultured bacterium. RNAcentral describes it as "partial 16S ribosomal RNA". It matches the Rfam family "Bacterial small subunit ribosomal RNA", at positions 30 to 507 of the family's 1533-position model. The record is from RNAcentral.
AUUGAACGCUGGCGGCAUGCCUAACACAUGCAAGUCGAGCGGAUGAAGGGAGCUUGCUCCUGGAUUCAGCGGCGGCCGGGUGAGUAAUGCCUAUGAAUCUGCCUGGUAGUGGGGUAUAACGUCCGGAAACGGGCGCUAAUACUGCAUACGUCCUGAUGUCGAAAGUGGGGGAUCUUCGGACCUCAGGGUCUCAGAUGAGGCUAGGUCGGAUUAGCUAGGUGGUUGGGGAAAUGCCUACCAAGGCGGCGAUCCGUAAAUGGUGUGAGAGCAUGGUCAGUCAACCUGGAAGUGAGGCUGGGUCCUGACUCUUACGGUAGGCCGCAGUGGGGAAUAUUGGACGAUGGCGGAGAGCCUAAUCCAGCCAUGCCGCCUGUGUGAAGAUGGUGUUCCGAUUCUAAAGUGAUUUAAGUCGGGAGGAAGGGCAGUAAGUUAAUACGUGACUGUUUUGACGUUACCAGCAGAAUAAGCACCGGCUAACUUCGUG